This 1204-nucleotide ribosomal RNA is filed under the name uncultured bacterium. RNAcentral's name for it is "bacterial SSU rRNA". It matches the Rfam family "Bacterial small subunit ribosomal RNA", at positions 28 to 1398 of the family's 1533-position model. The record is from RNAcentral.
GACGAACGCUGGCGGCGUGCUUAACACAUGCAAGUCGAGCGGAGCGGCGAACGGGUGAGUAACACGUGAGCAAUCUGCCCUUCACAUCGGAAUAACCAUUGGAAACGAUGGCUAAUACCGAAUAGUGAAGGAUGAGCUCGCGGCCUAUCAGCUUGUUGGUGAGGUAAUAGCUCACCAAGGCGAUGACGGGUAGCCGGCCUGAGAGGGUGACCGGCCACACUGGGACUGAGACACGGCCCAGACUCCUACGGGAGGCAGCAGUGGGGAAUAUUGGACAAUGGGCGAAAGCCUGAUCCAGCAACGCCGCGUGAGGGAUGACGGCCUUCGGGUUGUAAACCUCUUUCAGCGGGGACGCGGUACCCGCAGAAGAAGCACCGGCCAACUACGUGCCAGCAGCCGCGGUAAUACGUAGGGUGCAAGCGUUGUCCGGAAUUAUUGGGCGUAAAGGGCUCGUAGGCGGUUUGUCACGUCGGGAGUGAAAACUCAGGGCUCAACCCUGAGCGUGCUUCCGAUACGGGCAGACUAGAGGUAUGCAGGGGAGAACGGAAUUCCUGGUGUAGCGGUGGAAUGCGCAGAUAUCAGGAGGAACACCGGUGGCGAAGGCGGUUCUCUGGGCAUUACCUGACGCUGAGGAGCGAAAGCAUGGGGAGCGAACAGGAUUAGAUACCCUGGUAGUCCAUGCCGUAAACGUUGGGCGCUAGGUGUGGGGCCGUGCCGCAGCUAACGCAUUAAGCGCCCCGCCUGGGGAGUACGGCCGCAAGGCUAAAACUCAGAGGAAUUGACGGGGGCCCGCACAAGCGGCGGAGCAUGCUGAUUAAUUCGAUGCAACGCGAAGAACCUUACCUGGGUUUGACAUACAGGUGGUGCAUGGCUGUCGUCAGCUCGUGUCGUGAGAUGUUGGGUUAAGUCCCGCAACGAGCGCAACCCUCGUUCUAUGUUGCGACUCAUAGGAGACUGCCGGGGUCAACUCGGAGGAAGGUGGGGAUGACGUCAAGUCAUCAUGCCCCUUAUGUCCAGGGCUUCAAGCAUGCUACAAUGGCCGGUACAAAGGGCUGCGAUACCGCAAGGUGGAGCGAAUCCCAAAAAGCCGGUCUCAGUUCGGAUUGGGGUCUGCAACUCGACCCCAUGAAGUCGGAGUCGCUAGUAAUCGCAGAUCAGCACGCUGCGGUGAAUACGUUCCCGGGCCUUGCACUCACCGCCCGUC